This 397-nucleotide ribosomal RNA is filed under the name uncultured bacterium. RNAcentral describes it as "bacterial SSU rRNA". It matches the Rfam family "Bacterial small subunit ribosomal RNA", at positions 28 to 416 of the family's 1533-position model. The record is from RNAcentral.
GACGAACGCUGGCGGCGUGCCUAACACAUGCAAGUCGAACGGGGUCCAUGGGAGCUUGCUCCCGGAAGACCUAGUGGCGAACGGGUGAGUAACACGUGAGAAACCUGCCCUGGAGUGGGGAAUAACUCGGGGAAACUCGAGCUAAAUACCGCAUACCCUCCGGAUGGUCGCAUGGCCGACCGAGGAAAGAUUCAUCGCUUCAGGAGGGUCUCGCGGCCUAUCAGCUAGUUGGUGGGGUAACGGGCCUACCAAGGCAACGACGGGUAGCUGGUUUGAGAGAACGAUCAGCCACACUGGGACUGAGACACGGCCCAGACUCCUACGGGAGGCAGCAGUGGGGAAUCUUGCGCAAUGGGCGAAAGCCUGACGCAGCAACGCCGCGUGCGGGAUGACGGCC